Long non-coding RNA from Drosophila virilis, 2197 nucleotides. RefSeq lists it as uncharacterized. Lineage: Eukaryota; Metazoa; Arthropoda; Insecta; Diptera; Drosophilidae. The record is from RefSeq and is a predicted model, not a curated record.
UGCGGGUAAUUGUAAACGAUUAAACAUAGUAUCGAUGCCUGCACACAAGUAUCGAGUACAUAGUAUGCCCCUCACACAACUGACGUUGCGUCGAGUGCGCCAGUUCGUAGAAUUUGUGGCGAUUUUCUAGGAAACGAGCGCCAGAGCAACGUGCCUCGACAUGUUGCUCCGAUCAUCAGCGGGUGGGUCUGCGGGCAGCGGAGUGGAGAAGUGGAGAAUAGGAGAAGAGGAGCCGGGGGCAGUCGGCUGUAGAAAUGACGCAAUGUUUUUGAAAAUCAUCAACAGGCCCCAAGCAGCUGUCGUUUGUUUGGGGGCUUUUGUUUUGCUCGUCGCGUUUCGUUUUGGUUUCGCUUCGCGAAGCUGAAAGCAACAUCAAAUUGUAUACAUAUAAAAACUAAUGAUAAAUUCUACACACACACACACACACACACACACACACACACACACAAAGGGGCAGACUGCGAGGCUUUAACUUGAGCUCUGGGGCCCCCAUGUCAACAAUCAACAGUUUGCCAUAAAUUAUUUUCGCAAACAGUUCGCGCCAACCGAUGCGGCCCCAGGGAGCCAGCACACACACACACACACACACACACACACACACAAACGUUUGCAGUAUUGUACAAUAACAGUGUUGAUAAGCGACCAUAUGCACACACACACAAAUUCUAUGUACAUGCCCCUACGAUUGUCACACAAUCAAGCAUUGAGCAAGUUCCCCACCCGCGCCCCACUCUACGCAGCUCUCGAGUUUGAUAAAAAAAAAGUAUAUAUAUAUGUAUGUGGAGCUAUAUAUCUGUACUAUAUAAGGCGGGGUAAAUAAAACAGAGGCGUUAAGAACCCUGCUGGUGUCAGUUAGUAUUGGGAAAGGUUGGAAAGUGUUGUAAAUCAAUUAGCCAAAAGCGUUUCACAACAACAACAACAAUAACAAUAACUAGAGGAAGAAGAAGAUAGAGAAAAAACUAAGUCAAGAAACUGCGUCGCAGACGAUGCUCAACAAUGUUGUCCAAGUGCAUUCUGAAAGGGCAGCACGAGUUGAGACUGCGAAUGGAACUUGGCUCCGAAGGGGGAGGGGUAUCCAGUCUGGUUGUCGUUGUCGUUGUUGUUGUUGUUGUUGUUGUUGCAUUACCAAUAUGAUUUAUGGCUAAACAAAAUGCACAAAUGCUGUUACCAGCCAUUACGAUAGUCGUCUGCGAUUGCUGGCUCGUAAAUUACGAGCUACGAGGCGACUUCCCCCCCUCCCCCUUCCACGCUCAACAAAGUUCCGGAUGUUGCAACAACAGCUAAGCGAGGCAGAAGGCGUUGCUGUUGCAGCUAAUUUGUUGCUCCAAAGGGACAGCGGACAGCAGGUUUAAUGGAAAGCCAAGGAGGAACCCAAUAAUACGACUACCCUCAAUUAUUUAUCAUAAUUAAUAAACUAUAUAGAUUCAUCAAAAGCAAUAACUAUAGGACUAAGGACAAAUAACUGGAGGAUAAGUUAGACCAACAUAUAAUUACUAGAAUUCUCAUCGAUGAAAAACUCUAUUCCAAUACAGGAACAUGAAAAUUAGUAGCAGAAACAUAAAUCAAUUAAACAAAAGUAUUCAGCAAUAUCCGAUAUCGAAAAGGAAAUUAUUUUUUAUAUUUUUGUAGGAACGACAAAUAGGAACCACUCCGAACAAAAGAUCUAGUUCCAUAAGCAGCUCAGAAUCCGACUCAGAGUUUCUCAGUGCUUCCCAGAGUUCCUAGAUUUAUUUAAGCAUUUCGCUUAAACAAAACCCACAAUCUCUUAAUAUUGAUAAAAGUCUUUAAAUUUUACAAAUACUUUAAGCUGGCGACCGCUUCAGAUUUUGGUUUUCAAACUGAGAGACAAGUUUUGACGCUUUUUGCCGUUUAGCUAUUCAUAUUUUUAUAUUUUUUAUUUAUUUACUUAUUUUUUGCCAGCUGUCUUAUAAGCCGACAUAAUAGCUUUAAAAUUAUAAGAAAUAAUUAAAGGCCCAUUAAAUUCAUGAGACUAAUAAUGGCAGAAGCCGAACAAUAGCACAGCAUUCAAAUCAAAUUGCCCAGAAAAUAAAACUGAAAAACAAAAGAGAACCAACCAAAAAUAAAAAAAAUAAAUAAAAAAAAAUGGGAGAAGUAAAAAAUAAAAAUCAUUAAAUGCACGAAAUGGCAGAGAAAUGUGCCAGGGCCAUUAAGAAUUACGGCCAUAUACUGGCCCAAA